CCUACGGGGAGCAGCAGUGGGGAAUAUUGGACAAUGGGCGAAAGCCUGAUCCAGCCAUGCCGCGUGUGUGAAGAAGGCCUUCGGGUUGUAAAGCACUUUCAGUGGGGAAGAAAGCCUUGGGGCUAAUACCCUCGAGGAAGGACAUCACCCACAGAAGAAGCACCGGCUAACUCCGUGCCAGCAGCCGCGGUAAUACGGAGGGUGCGAGCGUUAAUCGGAAUUACUGGGCGUAAAGCGCGCGUAGGCGGUCUGAUAAGCCGGUUGUGAAAGCCCCGGGCUCAACCUGGGAACGGCAUCCGGAACUGUCAGGCUAGAGUGCAGGAGAGGAAGGUAGAAUUCCCGGUGUAGCGGUGAAAUGCGUAGAGAUCGGGAGGAAUACCAGUGGCGAAGGCGGCCUUCUGGACUGACACUGACGCUGAGGUGCGAAAGCGUGGGUAGCAAACAGGAUCAGAUACCCCUGUAGUC
RNAcentral lists this ribosomal RNA (465 nucleotides) under Vreelandella stevensii. RNAcentral's name for it is "partial 16S ribosomal RNA". It matches the Rfam family "Bacterial small subunit ribosomal RNA", at positions 338 to 795 of the family's 1533-position model. Lineage: Bacteria; Pseudomonadati; Pseudomonadota; Gammaproteobacteria; Oceanospirillales; Halomonadaceae. The record is from RNAcentral.